RNAcentral lists this unclassified non-coding RNA (345 nucleotides) under soil metagenome. Its description in RNAcentral is "partial contains 5.8S ribosomal RNA, internal transcribed spacer 2, and large subunit ribosomal RNA". The stretch from base 1 to 120 matches the Rfam family "5.8S ribosomal RNA", at positions 35 to 154 of the family's 154-position model. The record is from RNAcentral.
GAUGAAGAACGUAGCGAAAUGCGAUACGUAAUGUGAAUUGCAGAAUUCAGUGAAUCAUCGAGUCUUUGAACGCACAUUGCGCCCCCUGGUAUUCCGGGGGGCAUGCCUGUCCGAGCGUCAUUGCUGCCCUCAAGCACGGCUUGUGUGUUGGGCCUCCGUCCUCCUCCCGGGGGACGGGCCCGAAAGGCAGCGGCGGCACCGCGUCCGGUCCUCGAGCGUAUGGGGCUUCGUCACCCGCUCUUGUAGGNNNGGCCGGCGCUUGCCGACACAUCAAUCUUUUUUCCAGGUUGACCUCGGAUCAGGUAGGGAUACCCGCUGAACUUAAGCAUAUCAAUAAGCGGAGGA